This 516-nucleotide ribosomal RNA is filed under the name uncultured Glomus. Its description in RNAcentral is "SSU rRNA". It matches the Rfam family "Eukaryotic small subunit ribosomal RNA", at positions 569 to 1090 of the family's 1831-position model. Lineage: Eukaryota; Fungi; Glomeromycota; Glomeromycetes; Glomerales; Glomeraceae. The record is from RNAcentral.
AGCAGCCGCGGUAAUUCCAGCUCCAAUAGCGUAUAUUAAAGUUGUUGCAGUUAAAAAGCUCGUAGUUGAAUUUCGGGACCAAUAUGUCGGUCGUGCUUCGGUACGUACUUGCAUUAUUGGUUUCUCCCUUCUGAAGAACCUUGAUGUCAUUAAUUUGGUGUCUUGGGGAAUCAGGACUGUUACUUUGAAAAAAUUAGAGUGUUUAAAGCAGGCUCGCGCUUGAAUACAUUAGCAUGGAAUAAUGAAAUAGGACGUUUGAUUCUAUUUUGUUGGUUUCUAGGAUCGACGUAAUGAUUAAUAGGGAUAGUUGGGGGCAUUAGUAUUCAAUUGUCAGAGGUGAAAUUCUUGGAUUUAUUGAAGACUAACUACUGCGAAAGCAUUUGCCAAGGAUGUUUUCAUUAAUCAAGAACGAAAGUUAGGGAUCGAAGACGAUCAGAUACCGUCGUAGUCUUAACCAUAAACUAUGCCGAUAGGGAUCGGAUGAUGUUAUUUUUGAUUGACUCAUUCGGCUACCCG